Cairina moschata (Muscovy duck) is the source of this 172-nucleotide small nuclear RNA. Its record names the gene U2. It matches the Rfam family "U2 spliceosomal RNA". From Rfam's summary of the family: U2 is a small nuclear RNA (snRNA) component of the spliceosome (involved in pre-mRNA splicing). The record is from Ensembl. NCBI's taxonomy places the organism in Eukaryota, Metazoa, Chordata, Aves, Anseriformes, Anatidae.
CCAGCUAAGAUCAAGUGUAGUAUCUACUCUUAGAUAAGUUCUCAAUGAGAGUACUUCAUAUUAAAUGAAUUUUUGAACUCUGUAGUUGGAUUUGGAGCUUGUUCCCUCCACUCCGUGCAUUGUCCUGAUACUGUGGAUGUAGCACUGAAAGACAUGGUUUAGUGAUGGGACU